CCUACGGGCGGCAGCAGUGGGGAAUAUUGCACAAUGGGGGAAACCCUGAUGCAGCGACGUCGCGUGAGUGAAGAAGUAACUCGUUAUGUAAAGCUCUAUCAGCAGGGAAGAAAAUGACGGUACCUGAGUCAGAAGCCCCGGCUAACUACGUGCCAGCAGCCGCGGCAAUACGUAGGGGGCAAGCGUUAUCCGGAUUUACUGGGUGUAAAGGGAGCGUAGACGGCAGUGCAAGUCUGGAGGGAAAGGCGGGGGCUCAACCCCCGGACUGCUCUGGAAACUGUACGGCUGGAGUGCAGGAGAGGUAAGUGGAAGUCCUGGUGUAGCGGUGAAAUGCAUAGAUAUUAGGAGGAACACCAGUGGCGAAGGCGGCUUACUGGACUGUAACUGACGUUGAGGCUCGAAAGCGUGGGGAGCAAACAGGAUUAGAUACCCUAGUAGUC
RNAcentral lists this ribosomal RNA (440 nucleotides) under uncultured bacterium. RNAcentral describes it as "partial 16S ribosomal RNA". It matches the Rfam family "Bacterial small subunit ribosomal RNA", at positions 338 to 795 of the family's 1533-position model. The record is from RNAcentral.